AACAUGCAAACAUAGAUUUCAAAAUAUACUUCAAUGAAAUGAGGCAAAAAGGGUCCUGGCAAAUGAGGCAAAGGACAGUUCUCUUUUACAGAGUAGGGCUUUCUUUUCAGUGAUUGAGUCUUUGCAGGAAAAAAAUACAGACAGAACAGAACGAAGCUAACCGGACAAAUCGAAUACAAAGAAACAGUGAAGUGAAACUCUCAAGUGUCUUUGUGGAAUGAGCUCAGGCAUCCCCUGGCGUGCACUCGCUUGGCCCGACCUGUGUAAACGGUCACAGUCAAGCAAACGGCCAUACAUCAGAUACCGUUUCGAUGUGACAGCGCCUAUCACUAUCAACAAUGCUUAUCCGGCAUGGAAUCUGUAGCAGCAUUCCAGAGCAUACGCGAGGUAACAAUAGCAGGAAGACUCCGUGGAGCCCUGGUUUAACUAUGACCUGAAGCGGCCCCAACACUGCAGUCUGACCUGUUCUGCCUCGUGGAGAGCGGUCAUGGUGAGGGGAAAAGGGUGUGUGAUGACUUAUCUCUGCUAUGCUGUAAAUGCCAGAGAUGCAGUGGCAAUGAAGUAACAUAGGAGCCCGUGUGAAACGCCAGCCAGAAGAACAAAAAAAAUAAAUAAUAACAAA
Long non-coding RNA from Clupea harengus (Atlantic herring), 622 nucleotides. RefSeq lists it as uncharacterized. The transcript has 2 exons. The record is from RefSeq and is a predicted model, not a curated record. Lineage: Eukaryota; Metazoa; Chordata; Actinopteri; Clupeiformes; Clupeidae.